AACGAGGCCGACCUGCGGCUGAGUUACCUGCGGAAGGAUCAUUAAUGAAUUUUGGCCAACUCUGUUGGUCCAUCACAAUUCAAACACCGUGAACCGUGGCUUCGGCCCAAACUUUUGAUGUAUUGAAUGUUGAAUAUCAUAACAGAAACACAACUUUCAACAACGGAUCU
RNAcentral lists this unclassified non-coding RNA (170 nucleotides) under soil metagenome. RNAcentral's name for it is "partial contains 5.8S ribosomal RNA, internal transcribed spacer 2, and large subunit ribosomal RNA". The record is from RNAcentral.